This is a long non-coding RNA of Myzus persicae (green peach aphid), 523 nucleotides long. RefSeq lists it as uncharacterized. The transcript has 2 exons. The record is from RefSeq and is a predicted model, not a curated record. NCBI's taxonomy places the organism in Eukaryota, Metazoa, Arthropoda, Insecta, Hemiptera, Aphididae.
GCGCACAGUAUGCGUCAGUGUGUGUGCGUGUGCGUAUGUGUGUGUAAAACACGAUGUAUAACAUUGUACGAACAAACACGAGAGCAAACGGUGCUCACAUGACACCCCCGACGUUCCCGGAGCAUUUAAUUCACUUGGACGAUGGUAUAAAGCAUGGGUGAUACGUUGCAGUUCGUAUUCUGUCGCCUGAACAUGCGCCUUAACGCCUGCAAGCCGCCGACGACUGUACGGAACACGUCGAUAUUGACGCUUAUAUUCACCCCACCGAACUUUUGAGCUGACGGCGAGCGGUAUCCUGCAGUGAGGGGGCAGUGCCAGCUGAGUAUACCCAUAUACAGUGUGACCGAACUCAGGGUUGUUGAUCGAGUGCGACAUUACAAAGAUCAGAGGUUCUCAACCAAAAAAAGUCCAGGAUUUAAGAAAACCUGAGUCCCACGUAGUAAACGUUUGGAAUUUUUUUUACAUACAAAUUAGUCCAAUAACGAUUUUUGUUGCUUAUUAAAAAUGUAUACGUUAUUUUAAA